RNAcentral lists this long non-coding RNA (221 nucleotides) under Homo sapiens (human). Its description in RNAcentral is "non-protein coding lnc-RFC2-3:1". The record is from RNAcentral. Lineage: Eukaryota; Metazoa; Chordata; Mammalia; Primates; Hominidae.
GUAUUUAAUUUCCUGAGAUUUGAAGGAUUUGCUGGGAGGAAUUCUCCGUGGCUACUCUAUGCCCUUUCACAAGAGCCUGUGGUUUCCCCAGCACUCCCUGGUUCCCCAACAUUGCUGUUUUUCAGUCCCAGGGGAGCGGCUGGAGUUUUUAAGUUCUGAGCUCUGUUUGGGCCCAAGUCCAAUAGGUCACAAAAGGCUCAGUCUAAAAAAAAGAAAUGUCC